This 357-nucleotide ribosomal RNA is filed under the name uncultured Rhodocyclaceae bacterium. RNAcentral describes it as "bacterial SSU rRNA". It matches the Rfam family "Bacterial small subunit ribosomal RNA", at positions 1024 to 1382 of the family's 1533-position model. The record is from RNAcentral. Lineage: Bacteria; Pseudomonadati; Pseudomonadota; Betaproteobacteria; Rhodocyclales; Rhodocyclaceae.
AGCCGCGAGACGAGGUGCUGCAGUGGCUGUCGUCAGCUCGUGCGUGAGAUGUUGGGUUAAGUCCCGCAACGAGCGCAACCCCUAUCCUUAGUUGCCAUCAUUAAGUUGGGCACUCUAAGGAAACUGCCGGUGACAAACCGGAGGAAGGUGGGGAUGACGUCAAGUCCUCAUGGCCCUUAUGGGUAGGGCUUCACACGUCAUACAAUGGUCGGUACAGAGGGUUGCCAACCCGCGAGGGGGAGCUAAUCCCACAAAGCCGAUCGUAGUCCGGAUCGCAGUCUGCAACUCGACUGCGUGAAGUCGGAAUCGCUAGUAAUCGUGGAUUAGCAUGUCACGGUGAAUACGUUCCCGGGUCUU